ACUGAAGUGAGGAAUUGGCAAAAAGAUUACAAGAAGAAGAGAUGAGAGAACAGGACAAUCAAAGGCCACAGCAGGAAGUUCCCCAACAUAAUACAAGAAACAGAUCUAGGGAUUGUAUCAUCUUAUGAUUAACUGGUAUUCAAGACAUCUUUAAACUGCUUCUGAGAAGUGCUUUCUGGUGGCCUUAAACAGACUUAAAUAGUCAAGAAAAACCCUAUGAAACUAUGAAAAAAUAUAUAACCCGAUAAUCUGCAUAUUUUGAUUACGAUUUUCAGUUCUUAGACAUAGUUCAAAGUAGUGUAUUUUCGAUAUUUGGCAAUAUUCGUACAUAUAUUCUUUUUUUAUGAAGCAGUAUUAGAUUUUCUAAAGCUUGAAGUAGCAUGUAUUAGUACGUUAAGGAUUUUAUUCAUUGUCUUGUUCAUUUAAUGCAAAUAGUUUCCAUGUAUGUGCUAUUAAAAUAUGUUAUCAAGAUCUGAAUGCAUGGACAUGUAUUCAUAUUUAUGUGGCUGUACAUGUUCGUAACUAUGUGUGUGUGUGUACAUAUAUAUAUUUUCAGUGUAAAAGUGUUUCAUGAUUUCUCUGCCUUAUUAAUUGUUGGAACAAUAUUGAUUGUGAUAAUGUGUGUUUAUAAAAUAGUGGUAAAAAUUAAGUAUUUAUUCAUUCUUUUAUAUUUUCAUAUUAAAUAUAUUUUCUGUUGAUCUAGAGCUUUAAAUCAUGUUGCGAAUAUGACUAGAUUAUAUAUUUACUUCUGAUAAUUAAAAUUUCAGAUACUGUGCAAAUUUUUGUGUUGUACAAAAACACAUAUAUAUAUAUACUAAAACUAUUUUUGUAUUGUGAUCUUAUGUUGCGUGUUUUAAAAUCUUUAAAUAUGUCGGACAAGAAUUUUUUUUUUUUUUUUUUUACUUUCUUAGUUCUUUUGGUUUUUGUAUUUUUCUUCCUUUAUAUAUUAAAAAAAAUUAGAAUUCAGUACCUGAUAUGAAUGAUAGUUCAACUGCUUAUGUUUAAAAAACCUGCCUAAAAUUUUCUAACUUUAAUAACAUCUGUGGUAAGUAAUAUAAAAUAUUUGAAGAUGAAAACAUUUUAUCAUGAAACUUUUAUAUUUAUGUAGUGUAGAUAAAACAUUAAAAUUUUAUAAUGUUUCAAAACUAAUUAGGACCUCACAGUUUUAUUUCAUAAAGUACAGGAGUUUUGAGUCAGAAAAGGUUAACUUAUAGCAAAUGAUGCUGAUUUAAUAUGUAAUUUUAAAAGGAUUGUGCUAAUAAUAAUAGAAAUAAAGAGUAAUGUGCAUAUUUCCCACAUAUUCUGACAAAUACUUUGCAUGAUUAGUAACACAAUAUUGUAUAAUGUAGCUAUAUUUGUACUUUUUUAAAUGCUGUAUCAGAAGUAAAAAUAACAAAAAACUUCGAGACAAUAAAUUUAUUCUUUAUAAACUAUUUCUGUUCUUGGAAAUGACAAAAAUAUUGUUCAGAAUUAUUGAAGAUAAUUUAUAAAGCUGAAAUAGUAUACAAUAAUCUGUUUUAUUUUGUAUUUAUAUUGUAGCUUUCAUGUUAAUUGCCAUUUCAGGUAGCAAUUAUGUUUUCAAAGAAAAUGGUUUUUAAAGGCAUCUACUGUUUAAUUUUUAUAUUUGGUUUUGAAUUUUACAGAUAUGCUUAUUUCAAGUUUUCUUAUAUUAGAUAUAUAUAAUUAAGGGAUUUGGUAUAUAUUUCUUAUAUGUAAUUAAGAGAUGGAUUUUUGUCACAAUUGUUAACUAGUGAUAGUUUCAUAGUAAGUGAUUGUUAAAUUAAGGAAUGCAAGUAUCUCUGAUAUUACUACUACUACAGUGGUACUUAUUGCAUGUAAGAGUAGAAGAAAAUUGUUAAAACUGUCCUAUCAGGUGUGAGCCCCAAUAUCUUCAUUUUCAAAUGUGUUUUCGUAGCACAUGAAGUUAAUUAUAUAAUUCUGUACGUAGCAAUUAAUAUAAAAGCAACAUAACUGAAAACUCUUUAUAUAUUAUUUAUUUAUUCUUUAUUUAUUACCAAAUAUGAAACAAAAGAGAAUUUACUUUGCAAGCUUAAGUCAUGUAAAUAACCUUUAUUUCGUCUAGACAGAAAUUGUACCAUCAGAAAUUAUUCAAAUUCUAAGAAACCAUUUUUAUGAAUAAAAAAUAAGAUAUAAUAAACUCAAUUUAAAAAAUUGACAAGAAAAGGAAACAAAAUUAUGGGAAAAAUUUAUUUGUAUUAAAAUAUAACUUUAUUAAAUGAAAUGAAGUGUACCCUUUCACAUGGGCAGAAGAAAUUUUUAAUAUAAUUAAGGCACAAAAUAUUGAUAAAUGGAUUAAAAGACAGUGAAAAAGCAAGGUAAAUCAACAGUCUUGUGAGCCAGGUAUAAUGUACAGAGCAGCUGUUGAGCCAUAAUAUAAUGUAUGUAUAGCAAGUUUAGUCACGGAAAAGGAAAGUACAAAUUGAAAUGAAAGGUAAUGUAAAAUUUCAGGGAAUAAUAAAUAUUAUAUAAGAAGAUGUAAAAGACAUGAUGUGUCUUAAUAUAUUACAGUUAAUGUAGAUGUCAAAUGUAUUAUUUUUUUUUAGUAUAUGUUUGAAAUUGGAAUCAAUAUAAACUUUUUAAAGUAUAUGAUGAAGUAUUCAGAACAGUUUCUGUAAUGAAAUUGAAGAAUAUGUAAUGAUAAAUACUGAAGUAAAAUAUGUAUAGUUUUCAUUUUAACACUAAAUUUCUCUUAACUAUAGCACAAUAUAGUAAACUGGUGCUUUAAAAGUAAAAAAUAUAUAAAUUUAAAGUAAGAUUUUAAAAUUCUUCGAAGUAAAAUCCAGUAUUCAGUUAUGCUUUUCCUUUUUGCUUAAUAGGAACAGUUGUUUAAUUGUUUUGUAUCUUGAGAAAGUAAUAUUUUUUAAAUGCAGAAAUCUAUUUUUUGAGAAGUACAUGCUUAUAAAUUAGACGUGUUGCUUGAGUUUGGUUUGUUUGAUUAUGGCAAAGCCCUAGAGGGCUAUCUGCCUAAGGGGGAGAAGUGCCUUCAUGGAACAUUUUCUGAGAGAAACUGGCUCGUAUCCAUGUUGCGCAUGUAGAAGACCGUCGAGAGUUACAUGAAAGUUUGCAGAAAAUGCUAUUUAAAAAUGGAAACAUGUUCUCCAAUUUAUUUAUAAAGAUAACUGUUAGUUUCUAAAACACAUCUCCAGAUUUUUUUUACACCACUAAAUUUAAUAUGAUUACUGCUGAUUGUGUGCUGGUAUGUGAAGUGGUCUUAUCUAAUAGCUAGUUCUGCCUGUGUGUGGUGAAAUAUAUGUUAACACAUUGUUUUCACACUAAUUGGUAUUGUGCCUUAAAUGUAUGUAGUUGUAAAGGCAUGGUAGUAAAUGCAUUAAAUUCAACACUUUUCUUUUUGUUUAACAUUUUUCAUGUAAAUUUUUUCACAAUAUGAACAACAUAAGAGACAAUUUAUCAGGGCCUUUUUAACCUAAACAAGCAAGAAAUGACUGUUAACAAAUAAAGAAUUUGCAAAAUAUUUAGAAGACAGUUUAUCAGAUGGAUGUGUGAGUGAACAGUUUCUCGAGUAAAGAAGAAUGUGUUUCUUACAGAGAUGAUUCUGAAUUACUCUAUAAUGUUAUGUAUAUGAAGAAAAUAAUGCAGAAUUUUUUAUGCGACAAGAAUCUGUUAUGCUAGGAAAUGUGAUUUGGAAUGCCAAGCCAACAUCUGUGAAGUUUUUUAUAUGUACUGUGAUAGCAAUUGUAUUAAAAAUCAGAUUUAAUGAUUUUGAAAUAUCAAAAUGGCAAAUUUAAGAGCUUAUGACAUCAGAAAAAGCACGUGAUUUGUUAAAUCUCAUGUAAUGCUAGCAUUAAAAGUAACAUGAUUAAAGCCUCGAGUUUAUCAAAGUUACAAUAAAGAUGUUAUAUUUAUUUAACAGCCUACAAAUGUUUAUUUCAUGAUGCUUUGGAAGAAACAGUAUUAUUAAAAACUGCACAAUUUUAUUUAAUUGUGCUUAGUUUAAAUAAUCAUCAUUGAUUUUUUUAAAUGAUUAUUUUAUUCUUUAAUUAAACAUUGAUACAUUGUCAUUUCCAAAAUUGAUAAAAAUUGGUCUAAUUAUUAAAAUUAUAUGCACCUUCAAAUGGAAUUUUGAAGCUCAUAUAUGCAACUAUGUCCGUACUGCUGUAUUUGUGAAAGCCUUUUAAUCUUUCAGCAUUUGUUAUCUCUGAAGUUAAAACUAUUGUUAAAUAAUGUCUUAAAUGUUUUAAUUUAUAAAAUUGUAUGUAUUAGACUUUGUGCCUUUUCCUCUAAUUCUUUGUUACAUUUGCCAUAGUUCCCUCAUUUUCCCAUUGUGUCAUGUGUGUGUGUGUGUAUUUAUUGAAUGUAGUAACUACAGCUGUAUUUUUUUCUAUAGUCUUUUCUGAGAUGUUAAAUUUUAUCCAAAGUUUUAAACUUAGACUAGAGUUUAAAAAUUUUUAAUGCAUUGAAUUUCCAUUAUCAUGCAGUUCCUCCAUUUUUUUUAAAUCUGUUAAAAUGAAAUAUUGAUAUUAUCAUGUUUUUGCUGUUUUAUGUUUUCUCAAUAGGUGCUCAUAAAGACUGUGAAAUCAUACGAGUUAUGUUGAGUCUCAUGCUUCUAGGUAAUUGUAGAAUAGCUACUGGGCUUGACAAUGAUAAUGAAAUUUCAUGAUAUGGUCAGUAAUAUGUAUGUCAAGUCGUAUAGUGCCUGUAAGCUUUCUUCAUAUGAUACAUAUAAAAUGUUCUAGUAUUCUUUGAAUUUGUCGUGUGCAUUAAAAAAUGAAUUUUGUUUUGUAAUUUUUCUUUAUCAAAUAUCUGCCUAAGGUUAAUACUACCUGAAGUAUUGGCCAUGAAGUAAAAUGAAAGCUUUAAUUUUUGCCAUAUUUCAUUUAUCUAGUUAAGGGCAGAGGAAAUUAAAUUAGUAAUUUGUUGUCUGUUAACAUGUGUUGCAUAAUAGACAUCAAAUUAAUCUGUACUUCGUAGAAAUGAGUGAAUGGUUUUACAUAGAAUGUGAAUUCAUCUUAUUUUUGUUUGAUUUUUAAUGCUAAUUGUAAUUAAUAAUUUGUUGUGUAUUGAUAGUAGUUUAAUUUCAAUGGGAAAAUUUUAGAAAAAAUUCAAAAGCUAUUAGAAAUCUUAUCUUCAGGUAUUUUUUAAUUUUCUCCCCUUAAUUUAAAAUUAUGAAAAUUGUAAAUCCUGAAUAAGAUAAUCUUUCAGGAUUUUUGUCACAAGUUAUUUUAUUCCAAAUAUUAUUUUUGCAGAAAUAUUAUAUGUAAAUAAUUGAAUGUUCAGUAUUUAUAAAAGAUGUUUAUAUAUUUCUUUAUAUCUGCCACUGCCCAAUUUUUAAUGAAGCAAUCUUUUACUGCUUGAAAAUAGUACAUAUGUGUAUAUGUAUAUAUAUAUCAAUUUUGUAAAUUAAUAUGCAACGUAAGUUUUCUAAUUUGAAGAAGCACAAUUUGUCACAAAGUAUUGAAAAUUAUUAUUUGCAGUGAUAUGUAUAUAUUUUAUCCUUUAUUAAAAGUACUGUCUUUCCUAAUUAUUUUUUAAAAGUAUAAUAUAUGAACAAGCAUUAUGUUGCUGUAUAAAAUGCUUGGCUUUUUUCAUGUGUGUGCAUUCCAGAAUUAUAUGUCUGUCUGUAUGAAAAUAUUAAAUUUUUUAAUGUGUCAUGCUAUAGCAUUCUUUUAAUUUUCUCUUGCUCUAUGUAUAGUUUAUGUUUUCACUGUACAAAUAUUUUUUUUCAAAAUAUGUUGAAUUUACAUAAUCAAUCAUAUAUUAAAAUUUAUUAAUAAUUAUCUUAUUUAUUUUCUAAUAGAUGUUUAAAAUGGUAUCAGUAUUUCACUGUGAAGGGUGAUAGGUAUAUUGCAGAGUUGCUAAUUGUUUUGGAAUCAUUAUAAAACAUUUUGAUGUUAGAAAGGUUUCUAGCUUAGCAUUUUUCACAGCCAGCUCAUUACACUAUCACAGUAUUUAUCCAUGUAACCUGGCAAUUGUUUCCACUCUAUGAGGCAUAAGAUCUUUAAUUUAUCAUCGACACUGCAGGGCAGACUGUUAAUUCUUGGUGUUGCCAUCUGACUCUUUAUAAGUUUGAUGUAACAAAAACUUCAUAUUAUACCUAUUUAAUGUUUAACUAAGGGAUUUAAAAGCAAUGUGUAUACUUCAUAAUCAUCUGUAUCUUUGUUUUGUUUGAAUAAUUCAUACAUAUAAUACAUAUGAUUUACAAUUUUCAUAAGUUAUAAAGUUUGAACCAUUAUUGUAAUUAAUGAAAUGUGUUUCUAAUGCCAUAUAUGAUUUAGCUUUGUACAUAAUAAUUUACAUCCACAACUAACAAAAAGGUUUUAAAUAGUAACAAAAAUAAUAAUAUUUUAUAAGUAUCCCCCCCCCUCCCCACAGUUCUUGGUUAUAGAAGCAUGGUAUAAUGCACGUAAAAGCAGAAAUUUUUCACUUUAUGCCAUCAUGCAGUGAAGUAAUAAACUUUGCAUAUAUAAAUGGCAACAGUAUAGUGGCAGAAUAAAUUGUAUAAAUUUGCUUGGCUGUUCUGUCAUGAGCUAUGCAUGCUUUCAUGGUUUAUAGAAAUAUUUCAAACAAUAUAAUCAAUUAAACUCAAAGAUAUUAACAUGUGUUCAGUUUUAUUGAAUUUUUAUAUCAAUCAAAUAAUCAUAUAUUUUAUUCAAACAUAUCACUGACAGAGACGAAAAUCAUGUCAAAUUUCUAAGUGUGUAACGCAUGCAAAUCUUAAAAAUGAUGAAAAGUUAUUUUGUAUAAAGGCCUUUUUUUUUUAUUAUUAUUUCAUGAUAGGACUGUAUGUUGAGAUGGUUUUUGAUAUGGUUACUUACUUGUGGAGCAAAUUUAUAGAAAAAGAAAGCCUGUGAUUGCCAGUUGUGCUCUUAUGUAUGUGCUAGCGAGACUUGACUCCAAAAAAUUGUUGUUUUAACUAAUUUAUGUGAGCUGGUCUUAUUUUUUCAGACAGAUUUCUUAGGUACUGUAAUAUUGUCAAAAUGUAAAUGGCAACAGUUGUUCAAGAAAGAUUUAAGCAGUUAUGUAAUAUUAUUGUGAAUGUUAAAUAAAACUUUUUCUCACAUUAUGAAAAAAAAAAAAAAAAAAAAAA
RNAcentral lists this long non-coding RNA (7066 nucleotides) under Stegodyphus dumicola. RNAcentral's name for it is "uncharacterized LOC118187531". Lineage: Eukaryota; Metazoa; Arthropoda; Arachnida; Araneae; Eresidae. The record is from RNAcentral.